RNAcentral lists this long non-coding RNA (285 nucleotides) under Musa acuminata (dwarf banana). RNAcentral describes it as "long non-coding RNA (MACU_LNC010308)". The record is from RNAcentral. Lineage: Eukaryota; Viridiplantae; Streptophyta; Magnoliopsida; Zingiberales; Musaceae.
ACAUCAAAUCCAUUUUUCAUUAAAAAUUCAUAAGAGUGAAAUAUGUUAGAGAUGCAUUUGUCAAUGACUUCCAUGUAUCAAACGUUAAGAUAUUUAAAUAUACAAUCACUUUAUGCAUGAUAAAAUGUUUCGGCAUAGUCUUUCAUCACUCUUUGAAUGAAAUAUCAUUAUUAUUGCAUUGUAGUAUUCAAAAGUUCAAAAUAUUAAGAAUCUAAUAUCAUUUAUAUGAUAAAGAGAUCACAACAUCAUAAAAUUUUUAGCACAGAGUUUUGACAUCAAGGUAAG